Motacilla alba alba is the source of this 1115-nucleotide long non-coding RNA. RefSeq lists it as uncharacterized. The transcript has 3 exons. The record is from RefSeq and is a predicted model, not a curated record. Lineage: Eukaryota; Metazoa; Chordata; Aves; Passeriformes; Motacillidae.
GAGCUGCCGUCUGUACUCCAACCUGCCCUCGCAGAACCAUGUUCGCCCUGCAGCUACCAGGAUGUACCGGACGUGGAUAAAGAAAUGCGGCUUUUAGGGCGUUUUCUGCCCUCUCGGCUAAGGAAAACGGAGACGAUAGAGGUGGCAGUGCCUUUCUGUUCCUCUCUCAGGCCCCUGUAUCAAGGAAGCAGCAAAACGUGUUCCUGUUUGUCAUUUGCUGCAGGUGGAAAAGGGACAGAAGUGGCAAUAAAAUCACUCAUCCAGUUUACUGACAGAAGCAUCUUGAAGGUCCAUUCAACUCUGUACUGUAAUUCUUUUCAAUUUUUGUGCUUUGUGCCUGUCGAGUCGCUCAAUGCCGUAAGGUCCUUGAGCAGUUUUCUUCAUGGUCCUUCUUUCCAUUGCAUCUCUGCAAAGCCUGCAUGGUCAGCAGGCUUUGUCCCCCACCAUCCUCUCCCGGGUCCCUUAAGGAAAGCUGAAUGAGACAAGUCCUUUCAAAUUCUGGAACUCCACAGAGGCUGGAACCCUAGAGAGCAAACCUGGCAAGAGGAUGUGAUAUGCUGGAGCCUCCCAAAUAGGAUGAGACUGGCUGUGAUCUUGGAAAUGCUACAGCACUCUGUGUCCAGAGAGCAGUGAGGAAUGGAGAGCUUCCAGGGGCUUGCAGGAUUUGUGUACAAGGCGUCUUCUCUAGUUUUCCUGCCUUCUCUGGAAAUCAAGCAUGGUUGGGAAAGCCUUUGGCCAUGCCCCUGCUGCCCUGUGGCAGCAGCUCUCUUGGACAGAGAGCAACACAUAACUUUCCCAGGCCUUUCUGGGGAGGGCUGUGAGAAGAUCAGAGAAAAGAAAGAGAGGCAAUUCUUAUCCUCACUUGGUGGACCUGUUGUUGUGAACAUGUGGAAUGUGUCAUUGAGAUUUGUUUACCAAAGGGUGGUUUCCUAAUUAGCCAAUGGUGAUGGUGUUUGGGUUGGAGGACCAAUUAGGUUUAACUGUAUCAUAGCUGUCUAUAAAAGCAAUGGGUUUCUUAAUAAUGAUAAUAAUAUAAUAAAGAGAUUGAUCAGCCUUCUGUGAAUCAUGAAGUCAAUGCUAAUUAUUACCCGGCUGGGGGCCUGUCACAACGAAAC